Molecule: ribosomal RNA, 2960 nt
Filed under: Candidatus Uhrbacteria bacterium RIFCSPHIGHO2_01_FULL_46_23
Lineage: Bacteria; Candidatus Uhriibacteriota
Description: bacterial SSU rRNA
Rfam family: Bacterial small subunit ribosomal RNA (bases 5-1708)
Source: RNAcentral
UCACGAGAGUUUGAUCCUGGCUCAGGAUGAACGCUGGCGGCGUGUCUAAGGCAUGCAAGUCGAACGGCUUGUGCGGAGCACAAGCCCACUAAUUAACGCUAAUGUUGUGGCACUUCGUGCUAGCACUAAUUAACACUAAAUUCGUGUUGAUUUAGUGUAGUGAGCGAAGCGAACAUUUGGUGUCUUUUAGUGGUCUCGCGCUCCGCGCGAGCAGUGGCAAACGGGUGCGUAACACAUUGGUAACCUACCCCUCAUAGGAGAAUAACCCCGCGAAAGCGGGACUAAUACUCCGUAUAAUCCCGACUCAUAUGGGUUGGAAUGAGAGACGCAAGUCGAUGAGGGAGGGGCCUAUGCCCUAUCAGCUAGUUGGUGAGGUAAUGGCUCACCAAGGCUCUGACGGGUAGGGGGCGUGAGAGCGCGACCCCCCUCACUGGGACUGAGACACUGCCCAGACUCCUACGGGAGGCUGCAGUCGAGAAUAUUCCUCAAUGGCCGAAAGGCUGAAGGAGCGACGCCGCGUGCAGGAAGAAGGCCUUCGGGUUGUAAACUGCUUUUUUCAGGGACGAACACUGACGGUACCUGAAGAAUAAGAGGUUGCUAACUCUGUGAACUUGGACCCCUUUUUGAGAAAAAGGUGUCCACACCUCCAAAAAGUCAAGGUGUCACAUAAAAAAUUUAUCAGCGGGCAAAGCCCGACCAAUAAAUUUUUUAUGUGAAUUUGGCGAAUUAAGGUGUAAAAGUUUGGUGCAGAGCUCCCGCAGUAAUGCGGGAUAGGAAAAUCUUCCUACUUCGCUAAAGCUACGCAGGACGAGACAUAUUUAGUGUCUCUGAUUGACGCGUAUGCUUGGUGAACGAGGACACUCCAUAGCUUUAUGCGACGGAGUGCGCUAUAUGCUGGAACAUCUUGCUAAUGUUUGCGUACCCCCGCAAGGCGGGGGUGACAAUCGCAAAAAGACCUACGAUUAUGAAUCGGUCUCGCGCGAGCGAGGCGAAGGCACUGUUGCCCGGUACAGGUCGCGAGACAAUCAGCAGGCAAUCCGCCCGAGGCGGAGCGCCUCAGAGACUACACGCGAGACCCCCGCUAAGCGGGGUGAUGAUAUAGUCCACGUUCCGAAUGGAAAUUGAGUUAAGGUGGCCAGCCCCGUUAGAAAUUGACGGGAGGUGGUUGCCGCUAAUAAGCAUUGUACAGUACUGACUUUCAUAUUUUUAUGAAAGGUACUCAAUGCAAUUUCUAACGGGGCCAGCAGCAGCGGUAAUACAGAGACCUCAAGCGUUAUCCGGAUUUAUUGGGCGUAAAGCGUCCGCAGACGGUUUGGUGCGUCCCGCGUCAAAUGCCGAGGCUCAACCUCGGCACCGCGCGGGAAACGGCCAGACUCGAGACUGGGAGAGGCAAGCGGAAUUGCCGGUGUAGUAGUAAAAUGCGUUAAUAUCGGCAAGAACACCAAAUGCGAAGGCAGCUUGCUAGAACAGAUCUGACGUUCAUGGACGAAAGCGUGGGGAGCGAAAGGGAUUAAAACCGAUGCAUAGCAUCGGGAAGCACGAAUAUCGAAUCUCUAAUCUCUAAACAAUAUCGAAGCACGAAUGUUCCAAACAACAAACGUUUUUUGGGAUUUCGAAUUUAUGACUUGUUUAGAAAUUCGGAUUUAGUAUUUCGUAUUUCCGAUGCUGUGCAUCGGCCGCAUAGGGGUAUGCGGAAAUUAGUCCAUUCUCGUGGCAACACGAGAAACAAAAUACACUCUCCGAGUCCGUUAUUGAGCAAGUCACGAUACGGGGCGAGCGACAAUUACGGAAUCGUGAGUCCGCCAAAGCCGCAAGGCGACGGCGGAGCUAUAUGCGGGAAACUCUGUGUAUCCGAUAGUACCCAGCACUUUGCUUGUAAGUUUUAUUGGCAAAGUGUUGGGUAACAAUCUAUCGGCGUGACCUGUUAGAAGCAUGGGGCUUCUAACAGGUUGAACAGACAAUCCGCAGGGAAGUUAGGAGAAAAGAAAGGAGCUGGUAUGCAUUCAGUAAACGAAUUUGGUCAACUUCUUUGUCUCGUAUGCUUUGCCGUGUUACUGGCUGCAACGGUCGCAUGGCUCGCGACGGGAGAAAGAGUGCUGAGUGACUGGAUGGCGUACGGAGGUGGUAUUCUUGGAUUCAUAGGACUUUUUCUUUGGAGGGUCCUGGUGAUUGAAAAGAAAUCCUCUCCUUAACCCCUCAACGACUACACGCAGUGCACCCCGCGGAACGAUAGCAACAUCUUCGUUCCGCGGCGGUGAUGAUAUAGUCUGAACCCCGCAGCGAUGCGGGGAGGUCGGCAGAAAUGUCCGAUCCGCGUAGCAAGAGUUUGGAAUUUCGAGUUUUGAUCAUUCGGAUUUGUUUUCCGCCCAAGGCGGAUCAGCCUCAGGCUGAAGAAAUUCGGAUUUCGUGCUUAGAAAUUUCAAUUUUGUUACGAGUAACAAAAUUGUAGAUACCCCUGUAGUCCACGCCGUAAACGAUGGAUGCUAGGCAUUGGCAGUAUCGACCCUGUCAGUGUCGUUCACCUAAGGUAACCCCUUAAGCAUCCCGCCUGGGGAGUACGGUCGCAAGACUAAAACUCAAAGGAAUUGACGGGAACCCGCACAAGCGGUGGAGCAUGUGGUUCAAUUCGACGAUAAGCGAGGAACCUUACCAGGGCUUGACAUGUCUGGAAUCCGGCCGAAAGGUUGGAGUGCCCGCAAGGGAACCAGAACACAGGUGCUGCAUGGCUGUCGUCAGCUCGUGUCGUGAGACGUCGGGUUAAGUCCUACAACGAGCGCAACCCUUAUCUCAUGUUGAAUUGUUCAUGAGAGACUGCCUCGGUUAACGAGGAGGAAGGUGGGGAUGACGUCAAGUCAGCAUGGCCCUUAUGCCCUGGGCGACACACGUGCUACAAUGGAGCCGACAACGGGACGCCAAGUCGCAAGACGGAGCAAAUCCCUUAAACGGCCCCCCAGUUCGGA